UUCCGGUUGAUCCUGCCGGACCUGACUGCUAUCGGAUUGAUACUAAGCCAUGCGAGUCAUUGUAGCAAUACAAGGCAGACGGCUCAGUAACGCGUAGUCAACCUAACCUAUGGAUGGGAAUAACCUCGGGAAACUGAGAAUAAUGCCCAAUAGAACACUAUGCCUGGAAUGGUUUGUGUUCCAAAUGAUUUAUCGCCGUAGGAUGGGACUGCGGCCUAUCAGUUUGUUGGUGAGGUAAUGGCCCACCAAGACUAUUACAGGUACGGGCUUUGAGAGGAGUAGCCCGGAGAUGGGUACUGAGACACGGACCCAGGCCCUAUGGGGCGCAGCAGGCGAGAAAACUUUGCAAUGUGCGAAAGCACGACAAGGUUAAUCCGAGUGAUUUGUGCUAAGCGAAUCUUUUGUUAGUCCUAGAAACACUAACGAAUAAGGGGUGGGCAAGUUCUGGUGUCAGCCGCCGCGGUAAAACCAGCACCUCAAGUGGUCAGGAUGAUUAUUGGGCCUAAAGCAUCCGUAGCCGGCUCUGUAAGUUUUCGGUUAAAUCUGUAUGCUCAACAUACAGGCUGCCGGGAAUACUGCAGAGCUAGGGAGUGGGAGAGGUAGACGGUACUCGGUAGGAAGGGGUAAAAUCCUUUGAUCUAUUGAUGACCACCUGUGGCGAAGGCGGUCUACCAGAACACGUCCGACGGUGAGGGAUGAAAGCUGGGGGAGCAAACCGGAUUAGAUACCCGGGUAGUCCCAGCUGUAAACUAUGCAAACUCAGUGAUGCAUUGGCUUGUGGCCAAUGCAGUGCUGCA
Molecule: ribosomal RNA, 797 nt
Filed under: uncultured archaeon
Lineage: Archaea
Description: bacterial SSU rRNA
Rfam family: Archaeal small subunit ribosomal RNA
Source: RNAcentral